Molecule: small nuclear RNA, 18 nt
Filed under: Arabidopsis thaliana (thale cress)
Lineage: Eukaryota; Viridiplantae; Streptophyta; Magnoliopsida; Brassicales; Brassicaceae
Description: snRNA_13924
Source: RNAcentral
GCCCGGACCCUGUCGCAC